GAUGAACGCUAGCGGCAGGCCUAACACAUGCAAGUCGAGGGGUAACAUAGGAAAGCUUGCUUUUCUGAUGACGACCGGCGCACGGGUGCGUAACGCGUAUACAACCUACCUUUUAGCGGGGAAUAGCCCAGGGAAACUUGGAUUAAUGCCCCAUAGUAUAUAGACUUCUCCUGAAGUUUAUAUUAAACAUUUAUGGCUAUUAGAUGGGUAUGCGUCCUAUUAGUUAGUUGGUAAGGUAACGGCUUACCAAGGCAGCGAUAGGUAGGGGUCCUGAGAGGGAGAUCCCCACACUGGUACUGAGACACGGACCAGACCCCUACGGGAGGCAGCAGUGAGGAAUAUUGGACAAUGGGCGAGAGCCUGAUCCAGCCAUGCCGCGUGCAGGAAGACUGCCCUAUGGGUUGUAAACUGCUUUUACAGAGGAAGAACCACCCCCACGUGUGGGGGUUUGACGGUACUCUGCGAAUAAGGAUCGGCUAACUCCGUG
This 487-nucleotide ribosomal RNA is filed under the name uncultured bacterium. Its description in RNAcentral is "bacterial SSU rRNA". It matches the Rfam family "Bacterial small subunit ribosomal RNA", at positions 28 to 507 of the family's 1533-position model. The record is from RNAcentral.